Long non-coding RNA from Helianthus annuus (common sunflower), 405 nucleotides. RefSeq lists it as uncharacterized. NCBI's taxonomy places the organism in Eukaryota, Viridiplantae, Streptophyta, Magnoliopsida, Asterales, Asteraceae. The transcript is spliced from 3 exons. The record is from RefSeq and is a predicted model, not a curated record.
UGCUUUUCAUAUUGACACCUGUGAGUUAAAACACCUCAUCCAAAUUUUGUAAUAAUAUUUAAAUGUGAUAUUUAUCCUAAGCUUAGUGACCAAGUAAACCCACUAUAAGAACGAGACAUGGCCUUCCCAAUAUCUUGUCAUCUCUUUUUCUAUCAUCCAUAUUCUCCUAGCAGCUUUUGAUAAUUUUCCGGUAUACACACGAAGGAUUCCAUGAUCAUAUAAGCGUAAAUUAUUAUCUCAAUUUUGUGAUCAUCGCUUAAGGUGAUCAAGAUUUCUGGGACAGGAUAAGGAAGAGUGUUCGAGUGUUUGGAAAAGACCGUAGAAAUAAAUGUACUGGAUUAGAUAUCCUAUUUCCAUCAAGUUGUAAAGCCUUAAGUAUUAAUGGAAUUAUGUUUUUGAUCUGAC